GUUUGUGUUGCUUUGUCAGGUGCCCGUGCUGUCGCUUGGCAAGAAUCAGAAGUUGAAAACAAACUGAAGCAAGCGGGAGCACGGGCGCAGCUGGGAACGAGAAUCCGUUCCAGCUGUGAAAAGACACCGAAGUUCUUUUUAGCGUACGGAAAAUGGAAGGAAGUUUCAUUUCGUUCAGCUCAGAAAACUGGUGCCCGUCACUCUUUAGCCGCUCGUUUCAACAC
Long non-coding RNA from Culex quinquefasciatus (southern house mosquito), 224 nucleotides. RefSeq lists it as uncharacterized. The record is from RefSeq and is a predicted model, not a curated record. The transcript is spliced from 2 exons. Lineage: Eukaryota; Metazoa; Arthropoda; Insecta; Diptera; Culicidae.